AUGUUUAGACGGAGGUUCACAUGGAUGCAUGAGUCAGCAAAUGACAGAGAAAGGCCACUGAAAGUCUGUAUCAGAACUCAGAAGGAUGUCUAUUAACCGAAAAUAAGCGAUAUUAGUAAAUAAAUAUUUAUUUAUCACCUCUAAUUUGUACACAUAUAUCCAAAUUAUAUAUAUUGUGGAUAAGAAAAUUAAAGAAAUCAUCACUAGGAGCCUUAUUUUUUUCUUUGAACAGCAAAAGCUUUCAUUAUAUAAAUGAAAUAAAUGAAUGGCAGUCUAGCAAAACACUAGAAAGCCAAUUAUACACCAAAAUUACGAUUUGUUUGAAACACUAAAUUUGCACCACAUAUCCCAAAUCUAAAAAAGACCAAAUAUCCCAAAUCUAAAAAAGAGAAGAAGAACUAUAGGUAUGACGGAAUCCGUAAGUAAUUGUGAGGGGUGAGAAAACGAGGACAUCGGUUUCUUACUAGUCAUGCGGGCUUAGGCUGCGCUAGCGUGGAGGCUUAUGUAAGGCUCUAUAUAGUUUGAUAUAACUAAAACAAUGAGUUACAUAAUUUAUAUAUACUCUAAUUUGUAACAUAUAUAGGCAUUGGCUGGUUGUACUGUGUGCAUAAUCAGUUUUCUUGGCAUACUGAAUUUGUACUCUUCUUUGCUUUUGUUGUACUCUUAUGUAUUCAUUACACUUUCUCUCAAAACACAAUCACUCCUCAAGAGAGAGAGAGGAAGUUCAGAUGAAAUAGGGGAUAAAGCAAGAGAUGGAAAGAGACUGGAGGAAGGAGACAAGGAGGCCGACCACCGUUGUUAGUGGGUGGCUUGGCGUUGGCAUCAUCUUCAUCCACACGCUUGGCCUGCCUGUAUUCCGACGAACCUAGGGUUCUGCUGUCACUUCCGGCGAUAGGGUCAAAUCAACCACCAAAUCCGGCGGCGGCUAGGGUUUCGUGGUGUAAGGGGUUGCUGAUGAUAUUCAGAUCCCCGACUUCCGGCGGUGGUGGAUAGGGUCAAAUAACCACCAAACCCGGCGGCGGCUAGGGUUUCGUAGAGCCAACUUGACAUUUCUGGUGAAUUCUGCAAUGGUGUGGUAAGUUUUAACUUCCAAGAGCUUGAAUUUGUAGAGCCAGUACUUAAGCCUUAGAAUUACCCCACAAGUCAAACAACCGCCAUCUGCAUUCCUCCACCUUCGACAUCUUUUACCUUUUCCAUAGCUUAACCCUCUCACUUAAACCAAAUCCAAAUUCAGCUGACUUGCAAUCAAACCCCGGUAUAGCACUUGUAUUGACAUCGAAGAUGAUCCUGAUCAGAUCGAUGCGCUCACAUUCCUAUUCAUCGUCUCCGGCGUCAGUGAUUAUUUAAAGGUGAGAUUUUGAUAUGAAAUGGAUAGUGAGGAAUCGGAUGUUAGUGGGUCUGAUGAGGAGGACACAUCGUGGAUAUCAUGGUUUUGCAACCUGCGCAGAAACGUGUUUUUCUGUGAAGUUGAUGAUAAUUACAUCCAAGAUGAGUUUAAUCUCUGGUUUGAGCAGCCAAGUCCCCUAUUAUGAGACGCUCUUGAUUUGAUCCUGGACGUUGAAUCCUCUCAUGUUACAGGAUUUUGUAAUCAUCUCCUACUCAGCGAUGGUAAUACUAUUGUGUCGAAGUUGAACGCCACUGAACGACGGCGCUCACACGGCGGUUUCCAACAGAUCAUAGGAUGGUAUAGGUGUUGGUGUAGAGGAAAGGCUUGACUUGGAUAUCUGAGGUAAUAUACUUGAAAUUGUUGGUUAUGGUUUACUCAUGUAUGAUCUAGAACAUCUUUGUUGCAGCCUUUUUCUCCAAUAGUGGUUGCUACAAAUGAGGGUGAAUGUAUCAAGUAUGCUACCUUUAUUUGUUUUUUUGUUUCUGAUACUUGGAUUUCUUUUUUACUGUCGAAAUUUUUCUCUCUACAUUGUGUUUUAU
Molecule: long non-coding RNA, 1926 nt
Filed under: Helianthus annuus (common sunflower)
Lineage: Eukaryota; Viridiplantae; Streptophyta; Magnoliopsida; Asterales; Asteraceae
Source: RNAcentral